GAGAAACUUUUUCUCACUGUUUAAACUCUUAGAAUGACUUGUUAGAAUAGAAUCAGCAAUUCCUGAGGCCAAUAGAUUGAAGGCUCCUAAGAUCUAUUACUGUUUGGCUUACUACUGGUUAGAAUUGAAAUUGAAUUAUGAUUUCAGUUGGCAUUUCAGUUCUCUAUUCAAAUUGAAUUAUGAUUUCAGUUGGUAUUUCUUGGAGCAAUAUCAUCUGAAGAAACUUUUGUUGCCAGAUAUUUUCAUUUUUUUGCUUACAUUGAAGAUAUAUCUUAUCAUCUGCUUUUUUGGCAUCAAGA
Molecule: long non-coding RNA, 299 nt
Filed under: Solanum tuberosum (potato)
Lineage: Eukaryota; Viridiplantae; Streptophyta; Magnoliopsida; Solanales; Solanaceae
Description: long non-coding RNA (STUB_LNC006848)
Source: RNAcentral